Non-coding RNA from Caerostris darwini, 72 nucleotides. The record is from the annotation of a GenBank genome assembly. Lineage: Eukaryota; Metazoa; Arthropoda; Arachnida; Araneae; Araneidae.
UCCCAUGUGUUCUAGUGGAUAGGAUUCUUGGCUGUCAUCCAGGCGGCCUGGGUUCAAUUCCCGGCAUGGGAA